UCCAGACUCCUACGGGAGGCAGCAGUGGGGGAUAUUGCACAAUGGGGGGAACCCUGAUGCAGCGACGCCGCGUGGGUGAAGGAGCGUUUCGGCGCGUAAAGCCCUAUCGGCAGGGAAGAAGGAGGACGGUACCUGACUAAGAAGCCCCGGCUAACUACGUGCCAGCAGCCGCGGUAAUACGUAGGGGGCAAGCGUUAUCCGGAUUUACUGGGUGUAAAGGGGGCGCAGACGGCAGCGCAAGCCAGGAGUGAAAGCCCGGGGCCCAACCCCGGGACUGCUCUUGGAACUGCGCGGCUGGAGUGCAGGAGGGGCAGGCGGAAUUCCUGGUGUAGCGGUGAAAUGCGUAGAUAUCAGGAGGAACACCGGUGGCGAAGGCGGCCUGCUGGACCGUAACUGACGUUGAGGCUCGAAAGCGUGGGGAGCAAACAGGAUUAGAUACCCCAGUA
RNAcentral lists this ribosomal RNA (446 nucleotides) under uncultured bacterium. RNAcentral's name for it is "partial 16S ribosomal RNA". It matches the Rfam family "Bacterial small subunit ribosomal RNA", at positions 330 to 792 of the family's 1533-position model. The record is from RNAcentral.